UAACCUGCCGAAAGGCAGACUAAUACCGCAUAGUCUUCGAUGACGGCAUCAGAUUUGAAGUAAAGAUUUAUCGGUAAUGGAUGGGGAUGCGUCUGAUUAGCUUGUUGGCGGGGUAACGGGCCCACCAAGGCGACGAUCAGUAGGGGUUCUGAGAGGAAGGUCCCCCACAUUGGAACUGAGACACGGUCCAAACUCCUACGGGAGGCAGCAGCA
Molecule: ribosomal RNA, 213 nt
Filed under: uncultured Prevotella sp.
Lineage: Bacteria; Pseudomonadati; Bacteroidota; Bacteroidia; Bacteroidales; Prevotellaceae
Description: partial 16S ribosomal RNA
Rfam family: Bacterial small subunit ribosomal RNA
Source: RNAcentral